RNAcentral lists this ribosomal RNA (1140 nucleotides) under Salmonella enterica. RNAcentral's name for it is "bacterial SSU rRNA". It matches the Rfam family "Bacterial small subunit ribosomal RNA", at positions 28 to 1154 of the family's 1533-position model. Lineage: Bacteria; Pseudomonadati; Pseudomonadota; Gammaproteobacteria; Enterobacterales; Enterobacteriaceae. The record is from RNAcentral.
AUUUUUUGGUUGGGACAGGGCUCCUACAAUGCAGUCGACGGUACAGGUAGCAGCUUGCUGCUUCGCUGACGAGUGGCGGACGGGAGAGUAAUGUCUGGGAAACUGCCUGAUGGAGGGGGAUAACUACUGGAAACGGUGGCUAAUACCGCAUAACGUCGCAAGACCAAAGAGGGGGACCUUCGGGCCUCUUGCCAUCAGAUGUGCCCAGAUGGGAUUAGCUUGUUGGUGAGGUAACGGCUCACCAAGGCGACGAUCCCUAGCUGGUCUGAGAGGAUGACCAGCCACACUGGAACUGAGACACGGUCCAGACUCCUACGGGAGGCAGCAGUGGGGAAUAUUGCACAAUGGGCGCAAGCCUGAUGCAGCCAUGCCGCGUGUAUGAAGAAGGCCUUCGGGUUGUAAAGUACUUUCAGCGGGGAGGAAGGUGUUGUGGUUAAUAACCGCAGCAAUUGACGUUACCCGCAGAAGAAGCACCGGCUAACUCCGUGCCAGCAGCCGCGGUAAUACGGAGGGUGCAAGCGUUAAUCGGAAUUACUGGGCGUAAAGCGCACGCAGGCGGUCUGUCAAGUCGGAUGUGAAAUCCCCGGGCUCAACCUGGGAACUGCAUUCGAAACUGGCAGGCUUGAGUCUUGUAGAGGGGGGUAGAAUUCCAGGUGUAGCGGUGAAAUGCGUAGAGAUCUGGAGGAAUUCCGGUGGCGAUGGCGGCCCCCUGGACAAAGACUGACGCUCAGGUGCGAAAGCGUGGGGGAGCAAACAGGAUUAGAUACCCUGGUAGUCCACGCCGUAAACGAUGUCUACUUGGAGGUUGUGCCCUUGAAGGCGUGGCUUCCGGAGCUAACGCGUUUAGUAGACCCGCCUGGGGAGUACGGCCGCAAGUUUAAUAACUUCAUAUUGAAUUGACGGGGGCCCGCACUAGCGGUGGAGCAUGUGGUUUAAUUCCGAUGCAUACGCGAAGUACCUUACCUAGUUCUUGACAUCACGUAAGUUUCAAUAAUAUGAAAUAUGUGCUUCGGGUAUCCGUGAGAACAGGUGCUGCAUGGCUGUCGUCAGCUCGGUGUUGGAAUGUUGAGCUAAGUCCGCUACUAGCGCUACCUUACUAUGUGCAGCGAUAGCGGUAUCUAAGUAAUGCUCAGGCUACCU